UCCGUGUUGACCACGGCAGUAUCCCAUGAGUUCCCACCAUUACGUGCUGGCAACAUAGGACGAGGGUUGCGCUCGUUGCCGGACUUAACCGAACAUCUCACGACACGAGCUGACGACAACCAUGCACCACCUGUAUAACAGUGUCCAAAGAGUCCCGCAUCUCUGCGGUGUUCUGCUAUAUGUCAAGCCUUGGUAAGGUUCUUCGCGUUGCAUCGAAUUAAUCCGCAUGCUCCGCCGCUUGUGCGGGCCCCCGUCAAUUCCUUUGAGUUUUAGCCUUGCGGCCGUACUCCCCAGGCGGGGAACUUAAUGCGUUAGCUACGACACAGAACCCGUGGAACAGGCCCUACAUCUAGUUCCCAACGUUUACGGCAUGGACUAC
RNAcentral lists this unclassified non-coding RNA (379 nucleotides) under uncultured Microbacteriaceae bacterium. RNAcentral describes it as "contains 16S-23S intergenic spacer region". The record is from RNAcentral. Lineage: Bacteria; Bacillati; Actinomycetota; Actinomycetes; Micrococcales; Microbacteriaceae.